RNAcentral lists this transfer RNA (71 nucleotides) under Toxoplasma gondii ARI. RNAcentral's name for it is "tRNA-Gly". It matches the Rfam family "tRNA". From Rfam's summary of the family: Transfer RNA (tRNA) molecules are approximately 80 nucleotides in length. Their secondary structure includes four short double-helical elements and three loops (D, anti-codon, and T loops). The record is from RNAcentral. Lineage: Eukaryota; Apicomplexa; Conoidasida; Eucoccidiorida; Sarcocystidae.
GCGUUUGUGGUCUAGUGGUAGAAUACCUCGUUGCCAUCGAGGUGAUCCGGGUUCGAUUCCCGGCAGACGCA